RNAcentral lists this ribosomal RNA (395 nucleotides) under uncultured bacterium. RNAcentral's name for it is "bacterial SSU rRNA". It matches the Rfam family "Bacterial small subunit ribosomal RNA", at positions 505 to 898 of the family's 1533-position model. The record is from RNAcentral.
GUGCCAGCCGCCGCGGUAAUACGGAGGGUGCAAGCGUUAAUCGGAAUUACUGGGCGUAAAGGGCGCGUAGGUGGUUACUUAAGUCGGAUGUGAAAGCCCCGGGCUUAACCUGGGAAUUGCAUUUGAUACUGGGUGACUAGAAUGUGGUAGAGGGUAGCGGAAUUUCUGGUGUAGCGGUGAAAUGCGUAGAUAUCAGAAGGAACAUCAAUGGCGAAGGCAGCUACCUGGGCCAACAUUGACGCUGAGGCGCGAAAGCGUGGGGAGCAAACAGGAUUAGAUACCCUGGUAGUCCACGCCCUAAACGAUGACAACUUGUUGAUGGGGAUAUAUAAAUCUUCGUUGACGGAGCUAACGCAUUAAGUUGUCCGCCUGGGGAGUACGGUCGCAAGGCUGAA